This 488-nucleotide ribosomal RNA is filed under the name uncultured bacterium. Its description in RNAcentral is "partial 16S ribosomal RNA". It matches the Rfam family "Bacterial small subunit ribosomal RNA", at positions 30 to 507 of the family's 1533-position model. The record is from RNAcentral.
AUUGAACGCUGGCGGCAUGCCUUACACAUGCAAGUCGAACGGCAGCAUGGUGAGCUUGCUCUCUGAUGGCGAGUGGCUAACGGGUGAGUGAAGCAUCGGUCCGUACCUUGUAUUUCGUGGUGACGUAGCGAAAGUUACGCUACUACCGCCUACGCACUGCGGUGGGGAGAAGGGGAUCGUAAUACCUUGCUCUAUCCGUGCGGCCGCUGUCGGAUUAGCUAGUUGGUGGGGUAAAGGCCUACCAAGGCGACGAUCUGUAGCUGGUCUGAGAGGAUGAUCAGCCACACUGGAACUGAGACACGGCCCAGACUCCUACGGGAGGCAGCAGUGGGGAAUAUUGGACAAUGGGGGCAAGCCUGAUCCAGCCAUGCCGCGUGAGUGAAGAAGGCCUUCGGGUUGUAAAGCUCUUUUGGUGGGGAAGAAAAGGAACAGGCUAAUACCCUGUGUUGAUGACGGUACCGGAAGAAGAAGCACCGGCUAACUACGUG